CAGCUUGCUGCUUCGCUGACGAGUGGCGGACGGGUGAGUAAUGUCUAGGAAACUGCCUGAUGGAGGGGGAUAACUACUGGAAACGGUGGCUAAUACCGCAUAACGUCGCAAGGCCAAAGAGGGGGACCUUCGGGCCUCUCACUAUCGGAUGAACCCAGAUGGGAUUAGCUAGUAGGCGGGGUAAUGGCCCACCUAGGCGACGAUCCCUAGCUGGUCUGAGAGGAUGACCAGCCACACUGGAACUGAGACACGGUCCAGACUCC
This 263-nucleotide ribosomal RNA is filed under the name uncultured Enterobacteriaceae bacterium. RNAcentral describes it as "partial 16S ribosomal RNA". It matches the Rfam family "Bacterial small subunit ribosomal RNA", at positions 76 to 339 of the family's 1533-position model. The record is from RNAcentral. Lineage: Bacteria; Pseudomonadati; Pseudomonadota; Gammaproteobacteria; Enterobacterales; Enterobacteriaceae.